Molecule: long non-coding RNA, 901 nt
Filed under: Danio rerio (zebrafish)
Lineage: Eukaryota; Metazoa; Chordata; Actinopteri; Cypriniformes; Danionidae
Description: lncRNA si:dkey-6d5.4 (ENSDARG00000100601.2)
Source: RNAcentral
AUUUUAUGUUAUUCUCGUUCAUUGGGAUUCCUAUAACAUCCUGAAUCUUGUACCGGCUGGGUAUACAAUUUCUUAAGCACAAGCAUGUCAGUCUUGGUCACUAAACAGUGGCGAUUGACCGCUAUCCUAAAAAGGCAGAACCCUACUUACUCAGAUUAGGAUAUUUUUUAUGCGGUCCCCAUAGAUCUGCUACCUCCUAAAUCAAACAUAGCUAUUUAGUCAUAUAAUGAUCAUUACUAUAGAAUUAAGCAGACCAGUCGUACUUAAACUAUUAGUAACUUUGAAUAAUCACUAUACUAUCUAAAUAGUAUUAUAAGUUUAACAGGUGAAGGACUUUCCCCUUAGAUAUCCUUUUACAGUUUAAGAAUACAUGAAUUAAUCCCAAUGUGUUAGUCGGAGCUCUAAAGACAUCGUAUAGCGUGCCGCAAUGCUCCGUCUACCGUGUUCUAGUCCGCUACUAACCUGUACAGGUGCUUGUGGUGUUAUGAAAUUACCACAAUCUACUAGAGAUAAUAACACUAACUCUGUUUGAAUAAUUCAAAACAUAACAAUUUAUUAGUCAGGUAAAUGUGUAUUACGCCAAUUCAUUCAGUCAAUUCAUAAACGAUCAGUACAAGACAUCAAGUUAUCAAAGACAAGUCCAAGAUUAAAUGAUGCAUUCCUGACUUCAAAAUACACAUAACAUGGAGCGUAUGCUCCAUGUUACGGGCUGAUCUGGGUAAGCAGAAUCGCGUCGAACAUUUCUCAAACCUUACCUUAAAGAUAAUCCAAGAAUCCCCUCAAGGAAAGGGGUGUGUGCAUAACAAAAGUCACACCCUUCACAGUGGUUCAAAAGAUGCCUGAAGUUUUAUAUUUAUUGUUUUCAUUAUGUCUAUUUCUGAGAGAAUGAGACCAUUGUACC